This 501-nucleotide ribosomal RNA is filed under the name uncultured bacterium. RNAcentral's name for it is "bacterial SSU rRNA". It matches the Rfam family "Bacterial small subunit ribosomal RNA", at positions 10 to 507 of the family's 1533-position model. The record is from RNAcentral.
AGUUUGAUCAUGGCUCAGAUUGUAACGCUGGCGGCAUGCCUUACACAUGCAAGUCGAACGGCAGCACGGGAGCUUGCUCCUGGUGGCGAGUGGCGAACGGGUGAGUAAUGCAUCGGAACGUGCCCUGAAGUGGGGGAUAACGUAGCGAAAGUUACGCUAAUACCGCAUAUUCUGUGAGCAGGAAAGCAGGGGGAUCUUCGGACCUUGCGCUUUUGGAGCGGCCGAUGUCGGAUUAGCUAGUUGGUGGGGUAAAGGCCCACCAAGGCGACGAUCCGUAGCGGGCCUGAGAGGGAGAUCCCCCACACUGGUACUGAGACACGGACCAGACUCCUACGGGAGGCAGCAGUGAGGAAUAUUGGUCAAUGGUCGCAAGACUGAACCAGCCAUGCCGCGUGCAGGAAGACGGUCCUAUGGAUUGUAAACUGCUUUUAUACAGGAAGAAACCCUCCCACGUGUGGGAGCUUGACGGUACUGUAGGAAUAAGGAUCGGCUAACUCCGUG